ACAGGCAAUUCGGUGCAUUCCCUGAAUUCAUUCCCUUCCGGUUCUUGAAUUGAGAGAUUACUGUAAUUACGUAACGCGACGCGUAGGUCAACUUUUUACUACAUGGCGCAUUCUUACCACUUCGGUGUUCGGUUUUCAGUAAGAGUGGGAGGUUUGUGGACGAUCAUUUCGGGGGAAGUGCAGACUCAAGGGACGCCCCUAUGACGCCGGCAAAUGGAAACACAAACACUGACCUACCAUAUCACUUCAAUAAUUCCCAAAGAGUUCGAUCAAGCUGAAGUCGAUUGGGAAAAAUUCGAAAAGCAUUAGGCUUGCUAAAAGUGUGAGCAGCGUCCUUGAAAUAUGCACUUCAAAUUUUUGUGGCAUUUUUUGUAUGAGUAACAAGUAGGUAAUAAAUUUUAUUUUUUGUACAGUAACAUAUAGUCGGGUAAGAUUCAUUAUAAAAACAAGCUUGUUACAACUUUGACCAGUUUAAUAUAAUUGUACCAAUCAGAAUUUACUAUACAAUGUUUUUUGACUAGCGACUAACAAUACAAUAGAGCUACUUACAUACAGUGUACAUAUACGAUGAUGACUAGUAUGUAUGUAUACAUAUAUGUAAUUCCUCUGUCGGGUGGGAAACGUAUACUCGCAUAUGCAUGGAACCACACGCGUUCAAACUCAUACAUACCCGGAUUCAACAUUGUUUAUUCGAACAUUCCCUCGGAUCGUUUUUCCUAAUCUCUAUCUAUUAUACAUCUCUACGGAUAAUUAAUACUCUUCAAUGUCUUCUGCUUUUUUUGUACACUCCUAUAUGUAUAUACAAUCCAGGAUCAAACACUAACAGGAUACGAAUACUAAUACACAGUGUCACAAAAUUAGCAGUGGCCUUCUCAUUCGUAGCACUUAAGAGGACAUUAAGAAAAUACAAUCUGAUGUACCCUUAAUGCAACAGUAUUUUCUGACAGUCUCUUGGGAAGUCUUGUAAUCGUUACAACUAUGUAAACAAACUAAUCAAUUCGAUCUGCCUGUUUCUCUUGCCUUCUGUAAUAUCCAGGAGUCCAUUCUAGUAUAACAACUUCUCGACGACAUUGUCAAUUAAUUUAUUCUAAGUUAUAGCAGCUCAACAUGUUGGUGCCUGUGUUCUAAUCCAUUCAGAAUUUCAAGAUCCAUGUCCUUGAACUCUUUCGACUACAAAGACAAGAAUCAUUGCUAGGAAUGGACUUUUCAAUCCCAAUUGGCCUUGUUCAAAAUUUCCAAUCCCAUGAUGUAUAUCUUCUAUUAUUCCUAAGCUGUUCCCAGCAAUGCUCUGUACUUGCAAAUCUUAAAGCUUCGAUUGUAAGGAGGCAAGAAAAGGUGUUGUGCUGGCCACUGAGCAACAGCAGUUGUGUUGAUCUUAUACUAAUUUUUUAGAAAGGCUUUUGUCAUCUGAUCUCUGCUUUUUGUAAGAAAGAAUUAUGUAAACUAACAUUUAACAGUUUUGUAAUAUCGUUAAAAAAUAAGUCAAGUAUAUAUAAAAAAUUAUAUUAUAUUAGGAAUGUAGUAAAUCUAUUUUUAUAUUGAUAAAUAAAUUGAAAAAUUCUUUCGUUAUUUAAUACAUGUUUUUUUAAUAGAGAGCAUCACUCUUCUAGUUUGUAAAAUGCAUCGUAAUAAAAUACACAAUAAAAUGUA
Long non-coding RNA from Megalopta genalis, 1650 nucleotides. RefSeq lists it as uncharacterized. NCBI's taxonomy places the organism in Eukaryota, Metazoa, Arthropoda, Insecta, Hymenoptera, Halictidae. The record is from RefSeq and is a predicted model, not a curated record.